GACGUAGGGGGCCAGCGUUGUUCGGAAUUACUGGGUGUAAAGGGUUCGUAGGCGGUGUAGCAAGUCGGGAGCGAAAUCUCUGGGCUUAACCCAGAGGCUGCUUCCGAAACUGCUGUGCUGGAGUGUGGGAGAGGCGCGUGGAAUUGCAGGUGUAGCGGUGAAAUGCGUAGAUAUCUGCAGGAACACCCGUGGCGAAGGCGGCGCGCUGGACCACUACUGACGCUGAGGAACGAAAGCUAGGGGAGCAAACAGG
RNAcentral lists this ribosomal RNA (253 nucleotides) under uncultured Acidobacteriota bacterium. RNAcentral's name for it is "uncultured Acidobacteria bacterium partial 16S ribosomal RNA". It matches the Rfam family "Bacterial small subunit ribosomal RNA", at positions 524 to 776 of the family's 1533-position model. Lineage: Bacteria; Pseudomonadati; Acidobacteriota. The record is from RNAcentral.